AGAAAAGAGGCAGAAAACGAAAACCAAAAAGAGUCAAAGUUCUAAGAAGAGCAAAUCCAUUUUGUCUAUUCAAGAUCAGGAAGGCAGUCACAAGGACUUAACAGCUUCAAAUGAUAAUCUAGAAGAUGUGAACCCUCUGCCAGAGCCAAUGGAGAUGGGUGAGUCAGGUAAAAAUACUCAUGGUGAUCAGUAUGGUGGUGUGGUAGAGGAGGUGCACGAACCUGAUGUAAAUACUGAUAAGAGCGACACCAUAAAUUUCAAGCAAUAUUUUGUUUCUGGACAACCAGGAGAAGUUGCAUCAAAGAAACCAAUGAAACCAAACAGAGACACAAAAGCUAGCAGAAAAUCGAAGGUUGGCGUGACUCCUGGAGGAUUUUUGGAAGAUACCUCGAAAUCAAGAA
This 401-nucleotide unclassified non-coding RNA is filed under the name Hevea brasiliensis (rubber tree). Lineage: Eukaryota; Viridiplantae; Streptophyta; Magnoliopsida; Malpighiales; Euphorbiaceae. The record is from RNAcentral.